GAUGAACGCUAGCUACAGGCUUAACACAUGCAAGUCGAGGGGCAUCAGGAACAAAGCUUGCUUUGUUUGCUGGCGACCGGCGCACGGGUGCGUAACGCGUAUCGAAACCUGCCCUAUACUCGGGGAUAGCCUUGCGAAAGUAAGAUUAAUACCCGAUGUUGUUAUUACAUCGCAUGAUGUUUUAACCAAAGAUUUAUCGGUAUAGGAUGGCGAUGCGUGACAUUAGGUAGUAGGUGAGGUAACGGCUCACCUAGCCUACGAUGUCUAGGGGUUCUGAGAGGAAGGUCCCCCACACUGGAACUGAGACACGGUCCAGACUCCUACGGGAGGCAGCAGUGAGGAAUAUUGGUCAAUGGUCGAGAGACUGAACCAGCCAAGUAGCGUGCAGGAUGACGGCCCUCUGGGUUGUAAACUGCUUUUAGUGGGAAUAAAAGGGAGUACGUGUACUCUGUAUUGUAUGUACCAUCAGAAAAAGCGCUAAUUCCGUGCCAG
This 492-nucleotide ribosomal RNA is filed under the name uncultured bacterium. RNAcentral's name for it is "bacterial SSU rRNA". It matches the Rfam family "Bacterial small subunit ribosomal RNA", at positions 28 to 511 of the family's 1533-position model. The record is from RNAcentral.